RNAcentral lists this ribosomal RNA (253 nucleotides) under uncultured bacterium. RNAcentral's name for it is "partial 16S ribosomal RNA". It matches the Rfam family "Bacterial small subunit ribosomal RNA", at positions 524 to 776 of the family's 1533-position model. The record is from RNAcentral.
UACGGAGGGCGCAAGCGUUGUUCGGAAUCAUUGGGCGUAAAGCGCGUGUAGGCGGUCUGGUCAGUCGGGUGUGAAAUACCGGAGCUCAACUCCGGAACGGAAUUCGAUACUGCCAGGCUAGAGUCCCGGAGAGGGUGGUACAAUUCCCGGUGUAGAGGUGAAAUUCGUAGAUAUCGGGAGGAACACCAGCGGCGAAGGCGGCCACCUUGACGGUGACUGACGCUGAGACGCGAGAGCGUGGGGAGCAAACAGG